UACAGAGGGUGCGAGCGUUAAUCGGAAUUACUGGGCGUAAAGCGUGCGUAGACGGCUAUCUAAGUCGGGUGUGAAAGCCCCGGGCUCAACCUGGGAAUGGCGAUGGAUACUGGCUCGCUAGAGUGCGGUAGAGGAGAGUGGAAUUCCCGGUGUAGCAGUGAAAUGCGUAGAGAUCGGGAGGAACAUCAGUUGCGAAGGCGGCUCUCUGGGACGGUACUGACGCUGAGACGCGAAAGCGUGGGGAGCGAACAGG
This 253-nucleotide ribosomal RNA is filed under the name uncultured bacterium. RNAcentral's name for it is "partial 16S ribosomal RNA". It matches the Rfam family "Bacterial small subunit ribosomal RNA", at positions 524 to 776 of the family's 1533-position model. The record is from RNAcentral.